AACGCGAAGAACCUUACCAGGGCUUGACAUCCUGCGAAUUUCUCCGAAAGGAGAAAGUGCUUUAUUGAAUGCAGUGACAGGUGAUGCAUGGCCGUCGUCAGCUCGUGUCGUGAGAUGUUUGGUUAAGUCCAUUAACGAGCGCAACCCUUGUAUUUAGUUGAAUUUUUCUAAAUAGACUGCCUCGGUAACGGGGAGGAAGGAGGGGAUGAUGUCAGGUCAGUAUUUCCCUUACGUCCUGGGCUACAAACACGCUACAAUGGCCGGUACAAAGGGCAGCCAAGUCGCAAGACGGAGCAAAUCCCAUCAAAGCCGGUCUCAGUUCGGAUUGCAGGCUGAAACUCGCCUGCAUGAAGCUGGAAUCGCUAGUAACGGUAGGUCAGCAGACUACCGUGAAUACGUUCCCGGGCCUUGUACACACCGAGUAUA
Molecule: ribosomal RNA, 426 nt
Filed under: uncultured bacterium
Lineage: Bacteria
Description: bacterial SSU rRNA
Rfam family: Bacterial small subunit ribosomal RNA
Source: RNAcentral